RNAcentral lists this ribosomal RNA (253 nucleotides) under uncultured bacterium. RNAcentral describes it as "partial 16S ribosomal RNA". It matches the Rfam family "Bacterial small subunit ribosomal RNA", at positions 524 to 776 of the family's 1533-position model. The record is from RNAcentral.
UACGGAGGAUUCGAGCGUUAUCCGGAUUUAUUGGGUUUAAAGGGAGCGUAGGUGGAUUGUUAAGUCAGUUGUGAAAGUUUGCGGCUCAACCGUAAAAUUGCAGUUGAAACUGGCAGUCUUGAGUACAGUAGAGGUGGGCGGAAUUCGUGGUGUAGCGGUGAAAUGCUUAGAUAUCACGAAGAACUCCGAUUGCGAAGGCAGCUCACUGGACUGCAACUGACACUGAGGCUCGAAAGUGUGGGUAUCAAACAGG